GGCUACAAUCUCAUUUCCUUACUGACUUCUCAUAUCUUCUAAUUUCUCUCCUUAUUCUGGAAUUCUCUUCUCUGGAUUUGCUCUGUCUUUCGCUCCUUUCUCCUUUCCAGUUCAGUCCACAUCAUUUUAUCAUUAUUUUUUGUUGACAUGAGUGUUCUACUGCACGAGAUGCUUACAGCGGUUCAACAACCACUGGGUACUUGUUUUUUGGCAUUCGAACAAGCGUUGGCUGAACUGAGUCAUCUUUCUCUAGAGACCAGGUGAUGGAUAAAAAUGGAGAUUUCCAGUUUAGCCAGGUUGAUUCCAGGACACAUUCGCGGUCCACUGCCAAAUCCCAGAAAGCUGAAAGGCCUCAAAGGUGCCUGCAUUUGAAAAUAAUGAAACAUUUCUAACUGUGCAUUUUCAGAGACAAAUCUGAUCAUCAACUUAUUGGGCUUAGCUUACAUCAAAUCUGGAGGGAUCAAAUUUCUCAGGAUUCGGGAAAAUUACUGGGUCAUGAUGAAUAGAAACCACAUCCAGGUUUAACGACCAACCUUUCUUUAUUUUGCAUCCUGGAGUGGAAUUUUAUAUAUAAUUUAGUACCAUAAAAGUUACAUAUUUCUGAUGAAAGUCUAGUCUUCUGAGUUAUGUAUACCAUUAAUCUCAAAAUCUUCAGCAGCUUUUCUGGAAAACCAAGGCAGAAUUGUUGCUUUACGAAGAGUUUCACUGAUCACCUGAAAUUCGUUGUCGGAAAAUAUCAAUAAUCAGUCUCAAUAGAUUAUUACUUAUUCUAGGAGCAAAUAUCUAUUGUUAUUCUGAUAUUUACUUUGGCAGUGUAAGGCAUAUUGUUAACUUCAGACCAGGUAAGAGUUGUACCAUCCUCUCUGUUUGAUUGUAUUUCCUGGUGUUCCCUCUGCAAAUCAGCCAGUGAAUUUUAGUUCAACAUCUCAAGGAAACUAAUUGAAAAUUUCAGGAAAUUGUGAAGUCAAUAUUACUCUGAGCUGUUCCAAAACAGCAGGGUUUUCUUCCAGGAAUUUAAUCAGCCAUGUGAGAGCAGCCGUUGUGGUGUCAUGACCGGCAACUAGUAGAGUCAAUAUAUUGUCCUUCAAUUGUUUAUCAGUGAGUUUAUCUUCAAUAUCAUCUCUGUCUGCUGUUUUGGUAUGUUUGAUUAUCAGGGACUCCAGGAAAUCAUCCUGGCUUCUGCCACUUCUCCUAUCGGAAAUUAUAGAAUUCAACAUGGCAUACAUUCUAUCCCGAGCCUGAAACAGAAAAACUUGUAUUAGAGAAAUUUAAUGUAAAAUUCUACUGAAGUUGUCAAGAAGUAUUACCUCAAUGCCACGCUUGAAAGCUGUUCCAGGGAGCUUUAAUGGCAAGGAAGCAAACGAGGAAGAAAUGAGUUUAAAAUUGGCCCGAAACUUUUCCUGCUCCUUACCGGCCAUCAACUGAGAGGGGCUCGCCAAUCAGCCGCCGCAGUCGUUUGUGUGCUUCUCCGCUGGUUUGAAGCAAGCUGGUUGGGCCAAGAACUUGCUGCCCUGUGUAAAAAAGGUUCAAACUCACCAUCCCAUCUUUCCCUGUUAGCAAAAUUUUGCUUGCUUCUCUCCCAGUCAUGAACACAGUGAACCUCCCCAACACAAAAGUCUUGAACACUUUCCCGUACCUGAGAGAUAACAUUUCAUUAUUCCAUCAAAUAAAAUAUUCCUGAUGGGCUAGCAAAAUCAGAUAAAAAUGAGAAGCUUUCACCAACAAUAGGCCACCCCAAGCUCCCUGGAAUGUGCUCCAUUUUUUUCGGUGUUGUGGCCCAUGAACUCAACAAGAACAAACCUGAAAGAACCAAUGUGGCUAAAAGCACCACCAUCAGUAAGAUGCUGAUUACUUCCAUUCUUAAUCACUGAGUGAUCAAUCAAAUGAUAAAACUUGGCUGCUUUUGUAUUGUUUUCUUGUUAUUUCUCUUGCUAUUUAACCUGAAAUUAGGCUGGCCACAUGGGAACAAAGGUACCCAACGUGAGACAUAAGACUUAGCUAUUUACUAUGAUGGCUGACAAAACAGUAUAUCUAGAUUCAUUCUUAGUUUAAUUUUUUAUAUGGGAUGGAGAUACCGACGACCUUUCCUUGUUCACAAAGCUUUGUAUGAUUGGAUAACAUUCCCUUUGUUUGUUGACUUCCAUGAAAAGAACAAAAAUCUGAAGCCGGCAUCUUUAUUCCUUGUC
Molecule: long non-coding RNA, 2186 nt
Organism: Mangifera indica (mango)
Lineage: Eukaryota; Viridiplantae; Streptophyta; Magnoliopsida; Sapindales; Anacardiaceae
Exons: 6
Source: RefSeq, a predicted model, not a curated record